This 447-nucleotide ribosomal RNA is filed under the name Pichia ethanolica. RNAcentral's name for it is "eukaryotic LSU rRNA". The stretch from base 116 to 268 matches the Rfam family "5.8S ribosomal RNA". The record is from RNAcentral. Lineage: Eukaryota; Fungi; Ascomycota; Pichiomycetes; Pichiales; Pichiaceae.
UUUCGUAAGGGGAACCUGCGGAAGGGUCAUUACGGUGAUUAUUUGUUUCACAAUGGGUGAGCGCACACAACACACAAACAAGUAUAAUAGUUCAGGAGUUUUUAUAUUAACACAAAACUUUCAACAACGGAUCUCUUGGUUCUCGCAUCGAUGAAAAGCGCAGCGAAAUGCGAUACCUAGUGUGAAUUGCAGCCAUCGUGAAUCAUCGAGUUCUUGAACGCACAUUGCGCCCGUCGGCAUUCCGGCGGGCAUGCCUGUCUGAGCGUCGUUUCCUUCUUGCAAGACGAGAGUUGCGCAAAGCUGGCCCGGCCACGGCCCCGCCAAAAAGAAAAGAGGCCACAAGCGAAAUAAAACAGGACGCUGGGGGUCUCCAAGCACAUACGAGCUCGACCUCAAAUCGAGAGUAGGAAUACCCGCUAAACUUAAGCAUAUCAAUAAGCGGGAGAA